RNAcentral lists this long non-coding RNA (319 nucleotides) under Ananas comosus (pineapple). Its description in RNAcentral is "long non-coding RNA (ACOM_LNC007773)". Lineage: Eukaryota; Viridiplantae; Streptophyta; Magnoliopsida; Poales; Bromeliaceae. The record is from RNAcentral.
AAAAUUUCAAAAACUACCCUGUGGUUUCGUAUUUUCUCACUUUAAUACCAUGUGGUUUAAAGUGUAUCAAUUUGCCCCCUCUGUGGUUUUGUUUUUAUCUUUUCUAUAGCUUUUUUCUUAAUAUUUCGUUAAAUUAUAUACAAAAAACUUCAGAUAUCCAUCUAGAUUUACCAAAUAUUUACUUUAGUACCUUUAAUUUUAAUUUUGUCACUGAUUUAAGAAAAAAAUAAAAUAAAAUUGAUAAAAAAAAGAGAAAAACGAAACCACAAGGGGGCAAAUUGAUACACUUUAAACCACAGGGUACUAAAGUGAGAAAGUA